This 496-nucleotide ribosomal RNA is filed under the name uncultured bacterium. RNAcentral describes it as "bacterial SSU rRNA". It matches the Rfam family "Bacterial small subunit ribosomal RNA", at positions 40 to 507 of the family's 1533-position model. The record is from RNAcentral.
CGGCGUGCCUAACACAUGCAAGUCGAACGGAGUUCUUAAGGAAUGCGGCUUCGGCUAAAUGACUUUUGAACUUAGUGGCGGACGGGUGAGUAACGCGUGAGCAACCUGCCUUUCAGAGGGGGAUAACAUUUGGAAACAGAUGCUAAUACCGCAUAAGAUUACAGUACCGCAUGAUACAGUGAUCAAAGGAGCAAUCCGCUGAAAGAUGGGCUCGCGUCUGAUUAGGCAGUUGGUGAGGUAACGGCCCACCAAACCUACGAUCAGUAGCCGGUCUGAGAGGAUGAACGGCCACACUGGAACUGAGACACGGUCCAGACUCCUACGGGAGGCAGCAGUGGGGAAUCUUCCGCAAUGGGCGAAAGCCUGACGGAGCAACGCCGCGUGAGCGAUGACGGCCUUCGGGUUGUAAAGCUCUGUGAUCCGGGACGAAAAGGCAGAGUGCGAAGAACAAACUGCAUUGACGGUACCGGAAAAGCAAGCCACGGCUAACUACGUG